This 965-nucleotide ribosomal RNA is filed under the name Staphylococcus aureus. RNAcentral describes it as "partial 23S ribosomal RNA". It matches the Rfam family "Bacterial large subunit ribosomal RNA", at positions 1573 to 2538 of the family's 2925-position model. The record is from RNAcentral. Lineage: Bacteria; Bacillati; Bacillota; Bacilli; Caryophanales; Staphylococcaceae.
AAGACAUUGUGUCUUCGAGUCGUUGAUUUCACACUGCCGAGAAAAGCCUCUAGAUAGAAAAUAGGUGCCCGUACCGCAAACCGACACAGGUAGUCAAGAUGAGAAUUCUAAGGUGAGCGAGCGAACUCUCGUUAAGGAACUCGGCAAAAUGACCCCGUAACUUCGGGAGAAGGGGUGCUCUUUAGGGUUAACGCCCAGAAGAGCCGCAGUGAAUAGGCCCAAGCGACUGUUUAUCAAAAACACAGGUCUCUGCUAAACCGUAAGGUGAUGUAUAGGGGCUGACGCCUGCCCGGUGCUGGAAGGUUAAGAGGAGUGGUUAGCUUCUGCGAAGCUACGAAUCGAAGCCCCAGUAAACGGCGGCCGUAACUAUAACGGUCCUAAGGUAGCGAAAUUCCUUGUCGGGUAAGUUCCGACCCGCACGAAAGGCGUAACGAUUUGGGCACUGUCUCAACGAGAGACUCGGUGAAAUCAUAGUACCUGUGAAGAUGCAGGUUACCCGCGACAGGACGGAAAGACCCCGUGGAGCUUUACUGUAGCCUGAUAUUGAAAUUCGGCACAGCUUGUACAGGAUAGGUAGGAGCCUUUGAAACGUGAGCGCUAGCUUACGUGGAGGCGCUGGUGGGAUACUACCCUAGCUGUGUUGGCUUUCUAACCCGCACCACUUAUCGUGGUGGGAGACAGUGUCAGGCGGGCAGUUUGACUGGGGCGGUCGCCUCCUAAAAGGUAACGGAGGCGCUCAAAGGUUCCCUCAGAAUGGUUGGAAAUCAUUCAUAGAGUGUAAAGGCAUAAGGGAGCUUGACUGCGAGACCUACAAGUCGAGCAGGGUCGAAAGACGGACUUAGUGAUCCGGUGGUUCCGCAUGGAAGGGCCAUCGCUCAACGGAUAAAAGCUACCCCGGGGAUAACAGGCUUAUCUCCCCCAAGAGUUCACAUCGACGGGGAGGUUUGGCACCUCGAUGUCGGCUC